CUAGUUCCUUCGAUAUCAAUGUAAUCUAAUAAUCAUGAUUUUUUUUUCUGUGUUGGUGUAUUCACCUGAGUGCACUACACCAACACAGAAAAAAAAUCAUGAUUAUUAGAUUACAUUGAUAUCGAAGGAACUA
Non-coding RNA from Paramuricea clavata, 133 nucleotides. The record is from the annotation of a GenBank genome assembly. Lineage: Eukaryota; Metazoa; Cnidaria; Anthozoa; Malacalcyonacea; Plexauridae.